GAAUGCCUAGGCAUCUAAAGGCGAUGAAGGACGUGGCAAGCUGCGAUAAGCUCCGGGUAGAGGCAAGCACUCCAAGAUCCGGAGAUUUCCGAAUGGGGCAACCCAAUAAUCCCGUAAGGGAGGCUAACCCAGGGAACUGAAACAUCUAAGUACCUGGAGGAAGAGAAAACAAUAGUGAUUCCCCAAGUAGUGGCGAGCGAACAGGGAAGAGCCCAAAC
This 218-nucleotide ribosomal RNA is filed under the name Chloroparvula japonica. Its description in RNAcentral is "partial Bacterial large subunit ribosomal RNA". It matches the Rfam family "Bacterial large subunit ribosomal RNA", at positions 26 to 274 of the family's 2925-position model. Lineage: Eukaryota; Viridiplantae; Chlorophyta; Chloropicophyceae; Chloropicales; Chloropicaceae. The record is from RNAcentral.